GAUGAACGCUGGCGGCGUGCCUAAUACAUGCAAGUCGAGCGAACGGACGAGAAGCUAGCUUCUCUGAUGUUAGCGGCGGACGGGUGAGUAACACGUGAAUAACCAACUUAUAAGACUGGGAUAACUUCGGGAAACCGGAGCAAAUACGGUAAAAUAUUUUGAACUGCAUGGUUCAAAGGUGAAAGACGGUCUGGCUGUCACUCAUAGAUGGAACCGGGCUGCAUUAGCUAGUUGGUAAGGUAACGGCUUACCAAGGAAACGAUCCAUAGCCGACCUGAGAGGGUGAUCGGCCACACUGGAACUGAGACACGGUCCGGACUCCUCCGGGAGGCAGCAGUAGGGAAUCUUCCGCAAUGGGCGAAAGCCUGACGGAGCAACGCCGCGUGAGUGAUGAAGGUCUUCGGAUCGUAAAACUCUGUUAUUAGGGAAGAACAUAUGUGUAAGUAACUGUGCACAUCUUGACGGUACCUUAUCAGAAAGCCACGGCUAACUACGUG
RNAcentral lists this ribosomal RNA (497 nucleotides) under uncultured bacterium. RNAcentral describes it as "partial 16S ribosomal RNA". It matches the Rfam family "Bacterial small subunit ribosomal RNA", at positions 28 to 507 of the family's 1533-position model. The record is from RNAcentral.